Pseudopipra pipra is the source of this 1431-nucleotide long non-coding RNA. RefSeq lists it as uncharacterized. The transcript has 3 exons. The record is from RefSeq and is a predicted model, not a curated record. NCBI's taxonomy places the organism in Eukaryota, Metazoa, Chordata, Aves, Passeriformes, Pipridae.
AGCAGGGAGGCUGCUUUUGUAAGUGCUAUGAAAACAAGUUCCAGCAAAACUGAUCUUUAUCAGAUCCAGUUGAAAAGGCUGCACACACUGAAUAGUGAAACAGCCCUGUUAAAUUUUAAUCUGAGUUACAUAAAACAUUGUUCUUAAACUGGCACAUAUUGACAUUGUUCUCACAACCCAUUAACUUACAGCCGGAAAGUGAAAAGGCCAAGAGACACGUAAAACCUCUGUGUGAGUCCGUCUGUGCAUGUAUGUAAGCAACUUCUAGGGAGAGGUGCCUGCUCCAAACGAGAAGCCCUGGGUCACAGCAGUAACCCUUGCUGUUCAGAUGGGAUCCUUAGCAGAUAAGGAUCCAGCAUGGAUCACACCCAGCUGCACAACCCUGUCUCAGAGAAGUGUGAGCACUAAGAGGGUGCGAAGGCUGAGGAAGAAGAAAACAGGAGCUACUGGUCUUGGGUUUAGAUUCUAAAAGUUAAAGAGCAACUCAGCGAGAUAGCUUUUAAUUUGGACCCACAGUCUGUUCAUUUAAAUGUGCAGCUCCAGCACUUUCAGCCUUACCUGGAGCGGCCUGGCCAUUUGGAGAAGCUGUACCCCACCAGUUUGGGCAAACACAGUGUUGAUUGAUAUGGUGUGUCACUAAACACAGUUCCAGUGAUGGCUGUGACUCAGAUGUAUUGCCUUCAGUUGCACACUUACGCUCUCAAGGCAUGACCUCUGUAACUAAUAUGUGACAAAUGGGAGUGCUUCUCAGAAAGUGUCCCCCUAGGCCCUCGCACAGACAUGGCAGGGAGCAGGGAGGUAUUUAGUGCUAAAGCCCUGCUAAAAUUCUCAAAAGUGACUUUCCACUGGGUGACCAUUUCAGUGGCAAUGCUUUUCUUCAGGACCUGUGGCAUUGUCCUACAUCCUGCAUUAUGCAAUGAUUGUUGUAGGUAAUUACUUGUGGUAGUUAUUCUUUUUAGUGUAAGUUGUGCGCACUUUCUCAAGCAAGCAACAUGGUUUGCCUUUUAUAUUUGUAUUAUUGGGCUCUCUACAUAAUCUGUUUCAAAAUUCUAGUACAUGAACUUGCUUUUUCCUUUCCUGUCAUCAGUGAGAGUCAUUUGUAGAAUCAAUAGUAAAUGCUCCCCAACCUUCAAUUCAAUAUCAGACUGCAGCUCAGCUCCAGCAGACAUUUUUGGGUAAUGAAAAGCAGACAAAUAUUUAUUUGUGUCUGUUUCAUAACAUUUCUAUGUAUGUCCAUAUACACCUAUGCUUUUGCCUCGAUCUGAACUGAUUAUUUUUGUUGUGUUCGAUUCUUAAAGAAACAAAUUACAUUUAAGAAAAAUGACAUGAAUGUUUUCUUUAGGGUUGUUGUCUUUUUGUUGUUUUGGUUUUGUCUUUUUUGUCUUUGUUUUGGUUUUUUUGUUUGUUUGUUGGUUUGGCUUGGGGUUUUGU